CUGUGGGGGAAGGAGAUCCUGGGAGGACGACACGCAGUCCAGCAGCGGAAGAAGAUGAGCGGCUGGUGCACUGGAAGCUACACAGUACAGAAGGCAAGAGGGCAAAGCCCUGGCCAAAAAAGCUGAGUGUCACGCUGGCAGUUGAGUGUCGUCAAGCUGGCACCUUGUGGUAGCCGCAGUAGACUAUGCUACACAGCAUGGCACUGCCAUCUUGGAGGCCAGAUGCAGAUAUGCUAUCUCUGGCUGCCUGCCCUAUAAAAGAUUGAAAACAGUGUUGUAUCUGUCUCUUUCUUGUACCAUUUUCUGUUAUGUUUUUGCUCUUAACACCACGUAACAAGGUAGCCCAACAGAAAACUACCAAUGUCAUUGAACUUGGGAAUUGUUAUGGACUUGGUGGGGAACUGUGGUU
Non-coding RNA from Dermacentor andersoni, 409 nucleotides. NCBI's taxonomy places the organism in Eukaryota, Metazoa, Arthropoda, Arachnida, Ixodida, Ixodidae. The record is from RefSeq and is a predicted model, not a curated record.